UGACUUCCGAGGCAGCAGUUCGAUACGAAAAUAUAGUGAGUCGAUGGACAGUGACACCAGAGCGGGCUAUUAGAUUGGAAGACUUUCCUGAAUUCGAGCUGACCACUUUGGUGUAUAACUGUGGAUGGGGUAAAGUAGUGGAGCAGCCACAUCGGGUCUAUGAAUUAUUGGUAGGGAAAUUUUACGCCAACUUCAAUACAGAAAUUGACACACCAGGGUCCAACCUUCUACAUUAGACUUCAGGGAAAAAUGGAUCACAUUCUCACCCGAGGUUAUUCAAGACUACUA
RNAcentral lists this long non-coding RNA (288 nucleotides) under Olea europaea (common olive). RNAcentral describes it as "long non-coding RNA (OEUR_LNC014385)". Lineage: Eukaryota; Viridiplantae; Streptophyta; Magnoliopsida; Lamiales; Oleaceae. The record is from RNAcentral.